Molecule: ribosomal RNA, 230 nt
Filed under: uncultured bacterium
Lineage: Bacteria
Description: partial 16S ribosomal RNA
Rfam family: Bacterial small subunit ribosomal RNA
Source: RNAcentral
UAAAGGGUCCGUAGGCGGUUUAAUAAGUCAGUGGUGAAAUCUGGUCGCUCAACGAUCAAACGGCCAUUGAUACUGUUAGACUUGAAUUAUAAGGAAGUAACUAGAAUAUGUAGUGUAGCGGUGAAAUGCUUAGAUAUUACAUGGAAUACCAAUUGCGAAGGCAGGUUACUACUUAUGGAUUGACGCUGAUGGACGAAAGCGUGGGGAGCGAACAGGAUUAGAUACCCUUG